ACCCAAUGACCCUUAUGCAAGGGCCCAGAUGAUAAGUUUCUCCUUGUUUCCAGGAAAGAGUGUGCUUCUGCAGGACCCAAAUGUCAUUUACUGGAAGAGAGAGGUAGAGACGAAAGACUGCACUUCCUCCCCUUCUGAUAGAUACAACCUCAGGCAAGUGCUGUAACCUCUUCCCCCUCAUGUCAGAAAUGGGUAGGACUGGAUGACCUCGAAAAAUCUUCUAGCUCCAAAAAUCUAAUCCUCUAUUUUGCCAGUGGGUUAGCUUCUAAGACUUAUUUCUUCCUAAGGGCAUUUUAAUUUUCAUACAAAAUACAAUGGCAAAGAAAUCUCUCUCUUAUAUACAAGAGAGCAGACUUGCAUGAUGAAAUUACAGGCUUUGAAGGUGAUAUUUGGGGGCAGGACAUUCUGUAGGCAAUAUAUUCCAUCUACUCAUAAGGCAGCUCUCCCCAUCAUGACCACUAUUUUCAUAUUUGUGAAAAGAAGCCAAGAAUGGAAUCUGAACUAUUUGUGAUGCCCUGUAUUUGAAGAGAUCUUCAUUUAUGUUUGGCUGUUGAUGCAUGAAUAUGCUUACAGAGCUUAGCAUUAUUAUUAUUAGCACGGGGGAUUAAAUAUGUUAUUUAGUAUUAGAGGUAUUAGUCUCGAGCAUUAGGGCAGAUUAGCUUUUGAUGUAUUAGUUCUUUGGGGUUACAAUUAAGGCCUGGAUUCGUGAUUGUUAUAUCCAUUUGUCUCUUCUCCAUUCAGUUCACCAACAUUGACAGACAGCCCAGGACUAAUUAAUUAAUGACAAUUCUUUAUUUUCAACUGUGUAUAAGAAUAGGUUGUUCACAUCUUCUGAUUAUUGUAGACUUUCAAGGUGACAAUUUUGACUGGGACAGCCUUUUUGUAUUAUGGCAUUCUUAGCCUAGCUUUCUGAGAACCUCUGUGCUGAAUGUGUGGUCUCAAGCCUUUAAAAAUCUCUUAAGGAAUCUUGUCCAUACUUUACCACCCCCGCCACCCCCACUGUCUUUCACCUGCUUUCUAGAAGCAAAAUCUUUGGUCUGUUGCUUUGAUCCAAGCUCUGGUACACCAGACACCCAUCACUGUCUCACAAGAGUCAGGCAUCCAUCACAGAGAACAGAUGAGUAGGUCAGUCAAAUAUAAACAUUCCUUCUACUGUGAUUAAUUAAUAAUGUCUUUUAGGCCUUCUAUCAAUAUGGUACUUACAUCUGGGUUUAGAAGGGCACUCCUAAAUAUUUACUAAUGUGUAAUAGUACUUUUAAGUGGAGUUGAUAAACUCUGCUUCAUGGUUUAAGCCUUCUAGCAGGCAAGAAGUGGAAAUCUUUGUGAUUGGGUGCAUCUGUUUCUAAAACCUGAGUAUGUCACACCAUCAUCUUUCCAGAGCCUUCCUAAAAUAAGGAGACACAACAUCCUUCUAAUAACUCUAUAGGUAUGCUUUUCCCCCAGUCUGGUCUGAUUCAGAGACUGAUAGCUAAGGUUUCCUACCCCUCAACUGUGGGACCGGCCCAGGUAAGACGUGAGCCCCCACGUACAGACUCUCUUCUCACCGGAGCAAUUGCCUUCAUGCUACUGAAGGUGCUCACUGCUAACUCUGUGCACAGCACAUUCUCAACUGCUUUCCUCCUCACUCUGAAUAUUGCUGUACAUGGUUUGCCAUUAAUUCAUGGGUGAAAGCAUGUGCCCACCCAGUCCUGCAGCGUGGAGACAUGCACAGUCAGUGCUGAAAUCAGACUCUGGUAUCUCUCUUGCACCUCUCAAACCCUGUCAGUGGAAAGUGUCAAUGCCUUCCUACCGCUUGCAACCCCCUUCCCAACCAAAGCAUACUCCUCUGGCACAUCAGUACCCCAUUGAUGAAGAGGACAUCUGCUGGUUCCAUCUUCCACAGAUGAGUGGCUUGGUACAAAUUCGUCAAAGCAAGCAGUGGCCCAGUAGAAAUAGCCAGUGUGUGCGUUACCCCCUAGGUUAUCCCAUCACUCUGGAUUUCUGCCCUAGAAGCCUCCAGGGGAACUUUGAAGAAAGAAAUGCUGGAGGCUGCUUGUCUACCAAGGAUUUCAGGUUGUUGUGGAUUGAGAUAGGGUACAAUGAUUAAAUAUGAUGCUGAAUUCUUCUGUAUGCAACAAUAAACAUCGAAGGCUCUUGGGUGCAUAGACACAACCAUCCUUUCUGUCUCCCAGUUCGUUUUGUACCAACUGAGAUAUAGCCCACGUAGGGAAUGGAGUACUUAGUAUUUAUGUGGUGACUUUCGCCUGAAGAAAUUGGAACCUGUGGAGAGUAGAGAGGAAGUGGUUCUCCAAGAGAUCUGCUGUGAAAUGCUUCUCGGACCACCUGGGGGAGGCACUCUGGGGAGAAUGAUGCCUCAUUCUGUGUGGCGUACAUCCAACCUGCUUUUUAGGCUGGGAAAGUGGUAAUCAGAACAGAGAAAACCAAUGCCACGUCUGCGUCCUUCCCAGUUUCCUCAAAAGGCGAUCACAGACUAGAAGAUGCCGAGUAUGGGAAACUCUUCUGAUGCCUGCAGCAGUGUUGGCAAAGAGGCGCACACCCCCCCCCCCCACCCCAAGCCCGCCUCAGUACACAUUUACCCAACGCAGAGGCUGCAGCUCCCCUGUGAGCAGGGACCUUCACAUCACUCCUCUGAUAGCAAGGAGUCCUGGCUGUAAGACUUGUGUUCUCCUGUCUGGGAAGAGGGGGAUGGGUAGCCAGGUAACUCUGGGACCCGGAGUUCUGCCUCACUCCAUUCUUCAUGUAACAACCCCCGCCACACACACCCCAGUCAAGCCAGACAUGCAUUCGCUUUUGAAAACACACUAAUCAACCAGCCUCCCCCACGGCCUAUCCACCAUCCAUGGAUGUCCAUGUGUCACACACAGAGCAAUUAAAAAAAAAAAUCCAGGCAGCCCAGGGAACCAUAAUCUUCUUUUGUUUUCUCUUUUCCCCUAAAAAAGGCCUUUUAAGAAAAUAUAUUAAACCAGGUAAACUUUUACUCAUACGUUCAUGUGGCUGGAGCAGAUUGACAAAGAAAACAAUCACAAAAUAAAUAUUUUUGUUUUGUUUUUAAAAAAGAACAUUUCCCUAUACAUUGUCUCUUUCUAACUUGACAGAGCUGCUUUCUUGGACAGGACGGGUGCCAUUGGAAGAGGAGUUCCGGCUGGACCACGAGGGGAAUGUGGAACAAAUCCACGCCCUGAGGUCCCAUCGGCUGGGUGCGGAAAGUCUCAAGGGAGAACCCUGUUGGCACUAAGGGUUUGGCAGCUUAGAAUUGAAAGCCCUCAGGGAGGACUGGAUCCUGCCCACCUCGUUGUUGGCCAGCUUGAGCCGAUGCCGGAGCAAG
Lynx canadensis (Canada lynx) is the source of this 3325-nucleotide long non-coding RNA. RefSeq lists it as uncharacterized. The transcript has 4 exons. The record is from RefSeq and is a predicted model, not a curated record. NCBI's taxonomy places the organism in Eukaryota, Metazoa, Chordata, Mammalia, Carnivora, Felidae.